Molecule: ribosomal RNA, 408 nt
Filed under: Triticum aestivum (bread wheat)
Lineage: Eukaryota; Viridiplantae; Streptophyta; Magnoliopsida; Poales; Poaceae
Description: partial small subunit ribosomal RNA
Source: RNAcentral
AUGACUCGUCCACCUCGAAACCGAGCUGCAGAGGAUGAACAGCAACAGAGUCAGACAUUUGCAAUUUGUGACGAAACUCACAGUUCAUCGGAUAAAAUGAGAGCAGGUUACCUCAUCUUGUGUCGAAAGAACGACUAUGUUAACACCGGUAAGCAGGGAGGAGCUUGGGUUUGCACCGUCAGCGUUGUGGUUGAGCUUCAUCAAAUCGAGCAUCCUUUGGAAGGCGUCCUUGAGGAUCGCCUUGCCGUCGGAAUACUUGCUUCCCGCCAUCGACAUGGUGGCGUUGUUGCUGACGUAGAGCCUCUGCGUCCCGUGGGACACCGACUUGGGCAUCGGCCACAGGUCGACGUGGUCGGCAGCUAUGCAGGAUCCAAUUGCCAGGAGCGCGAGGAGGAGCCGCAGAGCUAG